This 497-nucleotide ribosomal RNA is filed under the name uncultured bacterium. Its description in RNAcentral is "bacterial SSU rRNA". It matches the Rfam family "Bacterial small subunit ribosomal RNA", at positions 1 to 507 of the family's 1533-position model. The record is from RNAcentral.
UAGACACGUAGUUUGAUCAGUGGCUACGAGGACGAACGGCUGGCGGCGCGCCUAACACAUGCAAGUCGAACGAGCGAGAGAGAGCUUGCUUUCUCGAGCGAGUGGCGAACGGGUGAGUAACGCGUGAGGAACCUGCCUCAAAGAGGGGGACAACAGUUGGAAACGACUGCUAAUACCGCAUAAGCCCACGGCUCGGCAUCGAGCAGAGGGAAAAGGAGUGAUCCGCUUUGAGAUGGCCUCGCGUCCGAUUAGCUAGUUGGUGAGGUAACGGCCCACCAAGGCAACGAUCGGUAGCCGGACUGAGAGGUUGAACGGCCACAUUGGGACUGAGACACGGCCCAGACUCCUACGGGAGGCAGCAGUGGGGAAUAUUGCACAAUGGGGGAAACCCUGAUGCAGCGACGCCGCGUGGAGGAAGAAGGUCUUCGGAUUGUAAACUCCUGUUGUUGAGGAAGAUAAUGACGGUACUCAACAAGGAAGUGACGGCUAACUACGUG